RNAcentral lists this transfer RNA (72 nucleotides) under Pangasianodon gigas (Mekong giant catfish). RNAcentral's name for it is "tRNA-Glu". It matches the Rfam family "tRNA". Rfam says of the family: Transfer RNA (tRNA) molecules are approximately 80 nucleotides in length. Lineage: Eukaryota; Metazoa; Chordata; Actinopteri; Siluriformes; Pangasiidae. The record is from RNAcentral.
UCCCUGGAGGACUAGUGGUUAGGCCUCUGCACUCUCAUCACUGUGGCCUGGGUUCAAUUCCUGGCCAGGGAA